RNAcentral lists this long non-coding RNA (605 nucleotides) under Panax ginseng (ginseng). RNAcentral describes it as "long non-coding RNA (PGIN_LNC014308)". The record is from RNAcentral. Lineage: Eukaryota; Viridiplantae; Streptophyta; Magnoliopsida; Apiales; Araliaceae.
UUCGCAUUUGAUUUUUGAACGGACCCCCUCAUCCUCCACAAUUUUCUCUCCAAGGUUUUGUUGUUCUAUAUUUUUGACUAGUUCAAGCAUUCUAGCAAACAAGUUGUGCACAACUUCAGCUCAUUCCCCACAUAUUUUGAUUCACCAACCUUCACCAUUUCUGUUUCAGACCUUUCAACAAACACCUGGUGCUCACAUGCAAACUUUCUAUAUAGCUCGAUAACAAAGUCUUCCCAACAGUCCGGAGUCCAUGUAUCUAAAAACUUUCCUUCAACGUACUGAUAGUACCAUUCUAGCUUCUCCUUCAAAAUCCUGGAUUACAUAUUGAAUCAUAUCUACUUCAAUCAUAGGAUUCACUUUGAAAAAUUCUUCAUAGCCCUGGAUAAAUCCAUAAGGAGCACUGUCGGAGAAAGGAACACUAUAAUCAUGUAUUGUUGGUACUCCACUCAAUUGGUCACAUGAAUGAGUGCUCCAUGGCAAAUCAUGUACCUUACUAGUUGCAGUACCACUUUGAGGCAUUUCAUCGAACACUUUAGCCUCACAAGAUGAAUUAGUGGAUUUACUUGGAAUUUUGAAAUGGGUGGACUUAGGAAUUGUUGGUUUAG